CCUACGGGGGGGCAGCAGUAGGGAAUCUUCCACAAUGGACGAAAGUCUGAUGGAGCAACGCCGCGUGAGUGAAGAAGGGUUUCGGCUCGUAAAACUCUGUUGUUAAAGAAGAACAUAUCUGAGAGUAACUGUUCAGGUAUUGACGGUAUUUAACCAGAAAGCCACGGCUAACUACGUGCCAGCAGCCGCGGUAAUACGUAGGUGGCAAGCGUUGUCCGGAUUUAUUGGGCGUAAAGCGAGCGCAGGCGGUUUUUUAAGUCUGAUGUGAAAGCCUUCGGCUCAACCGAAGAAGUGCAUCGGAAACUGGGAAACUUGAGUGCAGAAGAGGACAGUGGAACUCCAUGUGUAGCGGUGAAAUGCGUAGAUAUAUGGAAGAACACCAGUGGCGAAGGCGGCUGUCUGGUCUGUAACUGACGCUGAGGCUCGAAAGUAUGGGUAGCAAACAGGAUUAGAUACCCUGGUAGUCCAUACCGUAAACGAUGAAUGCUAAGUGUUGGAGGGUUUCCGCCCUUCAGUGCUGCAGCUAACGCAUUAAGCAUUCCGCCUGGGGAGUACGGCCGCAAGGCUGAAACUCAAAGAAAUUUUGACGG
RNAcentral lists this ribosomal RNA (590 nucleotides) under bacterium AWS2A. RNAcentral's name for it is "bacterial SSU rRNA". It matches the Rfam family "Bacterial small subunit ribosomal RNA", at positions 338 to 916 of the family's 1533-position model. The record is from RNAcentral.